AGCCUUUGAUGCAAAGUAUAAGAGUAGUGGACAGAACUGAUUUCUGAAAUUUACUUAUUCUGAGGCU
Chanos chanos (milkfish) is the source of this 67-nucleotide small nucleolar RNA. RefSeq annotates it as small nucleolar RNA SNORD75. NCBI's taxonomy places the organism in Eukaryota, Metazoa, Chordata, Actinopteri, Gonorynchiformes, Chanidae. The record is from RefSeq and is a predicted model, not a curated record. The transcript has a single exon.